GACGAACGCUGGCGGCGUGCUUAACACAUGCAAGUCGAACGGAAAGGCCCUGCUUUUGUGGGGUGCUCGAGUGGCGAACGGGUGAGUAACACGGGAGUAACCUGCCCUUGACGUUGGGAUAACUUCAGGAAACUGGGGCUAAUACCGGAUAGGAGCUCCUGCUGCAUGGUGGGGGUUGGAAAGUUUCGGCGGUUGGGGAUGGACUCGCGGGUUAUGAGCUUGUGGGGUGGGUAGUGGCUUACCAAGGCUUUGACGGGUGGCCGGCCUGAGAGGGUGACCGGCCACAUUGGGCCUGAGAUACGGCCCAGACUCCUACGGGAGGCAGCAGUGGGGAAUAUUGCACAAUGGGCGGAAGCCUGAUGCAGCAACGCCGCGUGCGGAAUGACGGCCUUCGUGUUGUAAACCGCUGUAGCCUGUGACGAAGCGUGAGUGACGGUAAUGGGUAAAGAAGCACCGGCUAACUACGUG
RNAcentral lists this ribosomal RNA (468 nucleotides) under uncultured bacterium. Its description in RNAcentral is "partial 16S ribosomal RNA". It matches the Rfam family "Bacterial small subunit ribosomal RNA", at positions 28 to 507 of the family's 1533-position model. The record is from RNAcentral.